This 465-nucleotide ribosomal RNA is filed under the name uncultured bacterium. Its description in RNAcentral is "partial 16S ribosomal RNA". It matches the Rfam family "Bacterial small subunit ribosomal RNA", at positions 28 to 507 of the family's 1533-position model. The record is from RNAcentral.
GACGAACGCUGGCGGCGUGCUUAACACAUGCAAGUCGUACGGUAAGGCCCUUUCGGGGGUCCACGAGUGGCGAACGGGUGAGUAACACGUGAGUAACCUGCCCACAACUUUGGGAUAACGCUAGGAAACUGGUGCUAAUACUGGAUAUGUGCUCCUGCUGCAUGGUGGGGGUUGGAAAGCUCCGGCGGUUGUGGAUGGACUCGCGGCCUAUCAGCUUGUUGGUGGGGUAGUGGCCUACCAAGGCGGCGACGGGUAGCCGGCCUGAGAGGGUGACCGGCCACAUUGGGACUGAGAGACGGCCCAGACUCCUACGGGAGGCAGCAGUGGGGAAUAUUGCACAAUGGGCGCAAGCCUGAUGCAGCAACGCCGCGUGCGGGAUGACGGCCUUCGGGUUGUAAACCGCUUUCAGCAGGGACGAAGCUUUUUGUGACGGUACCUGCAGAAGAAGCACCGGCUAACUACGUG